This 415-nucleotide long non-coding RNA is filed under the name Oryza sativa (Asian cultivated rice). RNAcentral describes it as "long non-coding RNA (OSAT_LNC001118)". Lineage: Eukaryota; Viridiplantae; Streptophyta; Magnoliopsida; Poales; Poaceae. The record is from RNAcentral.
AGAUUCUGAUACAGUGUGAUGAACACAAUGGACUAGAGUCAAUAAAGAUCCAACUCAUGCACAAAAUUGCCACUACUACAGCUCUAUCACCAAUAUAUACACAGCAAUUGCGAUAGCAACAGAUCGACAGGCCGAUAGAAAGAUCAGCUCAACACAAGACUGCUCAGAAAACCAAUGCACACUUCUUCUGUGCAGUGUUCUCUGCACUUGCUGGCCAAUGUAUCCUGAUUCAUCAAUCAUCUACAUCUUUUGUCAGGAUAUAUAUAUAUAUAUAUAUAUAUAUAUAUAUAUAUAUAUAUAUAUAUAUAUAUAUAUAUAUAUAUAUAUAUAUAUAUAUAUAUAUAUAUAUAUACAUGAAGGUAUAUGAACAUGGGCUAUUUCUACAUUUCUACAACCAAAUGUGAUGAUGGACCAU